Long non-coding RNA from Gallus gallus (chicken), 2154 nucleotides. The record is from Ensembl. NCBI's taxonomy places the organism in Eukaryota, Metazoa, Chordata, Aves, Galliformes, Phasianidae.
UCUGGAGAUUCUUUCUUUGUGGACUUUUCCUCUGUGAGCCUAGAUUUUUGGAGACAGGGGGAACUGUCAGAGAUACUGAGAGACUGUUUCUGAAGACACUGGCUGCAUGCUGAUUCAUUAAUGGAAGUGUGGUCAAAUAUCUAUCCCCUAUUCCAUUUGGCUCCAGCACCUUGAAUCCAUGUUCUUGUUCUUCUUUUCACUGAUCUAGUGCAACCUUGCAACCUCCCAUGUUGAGCCUCAUUCUCCUUGGGAAAUGGCUCAGGUCCACAGUUGCUCUUCAGAAUGUCUGUUUCUGUGUCUGUGUUGCACCAGAACAAGGCCAGCAAGUAUCACCCUGAAUAAAUUAUGGUCAUCCAAACAAGUAGAGCAUCUACCCCCAAAGAGUCUGUGUUACUUGUUUGUGAUAUGUGUCCAUGAUUUGUCCCAAGAGAAUAACUAGGGUAGGCAGAGUAAGGAUAUUGUUCUACACCUUUUAGCUGUGAGGAUAAAGUGUACCCCAUACUGCUAUUGCUCCGUUCUUCAGGCUCAGAAAGCUGACAAUUCCCAGUCUGCUGCUCUUAUCGGCUACAAGAUCUGCCAGCCAAAAGAUGACACACAUCUUGUCAUGACAAAUUACUUAAUUACUAGUUUGGCAACAUGUAAUACUUUGUAUUUGCUAUUAUCAUCAAAGCAGAAGAAAACGAGAAAUACAUCCAUUACCCUGAGAAAAAAUUCUACUGUUGCCAUAAAUUUCUGAUAAAGAAAUGAAGUAGGUUCAAGUUUAAUCACACCAGCAGUAAAUCAAAUAUCAAAUUUAAAACAACGAAUUACAAAGAGCCUCCUCACAGUCACUUAGCAUUGAUAAAUUAGUAAUGUAAUAUUAAAUUAUUCAUAUCUUUUUUUUUCCUUAGGACUAUAAUGAUAUACUGUACACAGCACUGAUAAUUUACUUAGGCUGAGUCCAUUCAUUUAAUUAUGCUGCUAAACUUGGUAGGCCAAUUGGUCAUCAUGAGAGUUUCCAGGCAAGCUAAUCACAAAUAUAUAGAACAUGUCCCUUAUUGUCCCCAGCGGCUAAGUGCUAAAAUGCUAUUUAGUGCUCAGAAGGUUAAUGUCCUGCUUAUGUAAAUUGUCCAAUUUAACAUUCAGCAGCAGUAUCAUAAAUUCUGGCUCCAGGAUUUCAUUAAACGUAUGUUCAAACUAGUUGACCUUAAAGGUUAACAAGCACAAGUUAAACAGGACAAUUAUUUAACUCACUUCUUAUCAAGAGACUGAAGCGUUCUAGCCAUUUAAUAGUUAUGCAUACUUCACAAUUAGAAUUCUUAAAAGGUCUCUGAUAAAGCGGCAGGUCAUGAAUUUUCAUAAGGAUGUCAGAUAAUAACUAUUUAUCUGCACUUGUUUUUCUUUCUUAUAAACUUAAACUUUGAUCUUAACAUUCAAUUACAAAUGAUUCCACCGAGAAAGACUAGGUGACUCAAGGAGCUUGUCUUCACAUUAAUUUGGAUCUAAAUUAAGCUUUAAAAACAUUGCAUCCAUAUUGUCUCCUACAGAAAUUAAUUUAGAAGUUAGCAACCUACUCUUUAUGCAAAAAAACACUUUGGCCUUUCAGCACUGGUCAAUCGAAAAGCACCGAAUGCCAAAUGAUUACAUCAGGCUAACCAUAGCAUUCUUUAUGUAAAUCAUAGGAAAAAUGUCUCCUUAUACAUUAUAAAAUAAUUUAUACAAUCACCUUGCCUCUUGAUAUGUUAACCGAAGAUGAAGACAGAUUAUCCAAGACUAUUUUUCUUUCUCAGAAGGAUUUUCCAGAGGCUUUUGUGAAGUCUGAACAACAGCAGCUCCGAGGGGUGGCCACUACUGCUGCUGCUGCCUAUGGCAGAAGUGAUGCAUUGAGAGCAUUUCCUGUGCUGACAUUUUGCAUCCCAAACUCAUGUUUCCAAAUGCAAGAGGAUUGAGUCACAGCUUCAGGAAUACAUUAGAACACUAAACAUAUAUGAAAAGUCUCAGAGCUGACAGUAACCAUAUUCCAAGGAAGUUGUAAAAAUAUUUUUUUUGAAGCUCAGCUGUAUGAGGUGAUUAUAUUAAUCAGAUAAAAAAAGCAGCAAGUCAUUUAAUAUACAUAAAUGAUGCAAUUCCCAUAGAAUUUUUAAAAAAGGGGGGAAAAGAAACAGGAGAAAAAUC